AAGAAUUACACCAUAAUUUAGUAUCUGCAGUUUCAAGACGUCCAAGUUGUACAGAAUGGAACAAGCACAAAGAGUAAAGCUUGUAAGGUCUUCUAGGUGAGCUCAGAGCAUAUGGUUACGGCAAGGUAUCUUAACCCGUCUUCAGGAACAUUUCCAACCUGGACAGUAAGAGAAAAAUUAAAAAAUACAUGUAUAAUAAAACAUUAUCUGCAUUACAUUGAUUUACAACACUCAAAAGAGUCUAUGGAGUGCACUAUUCCUGUUUUAUAAGAGAUACGUCUACAACAUAAAGAGAAUUUCUAAUCAAAUUUCCUUUCAAGGCAUCAACUGAAUGUUCAAUUUAAUAAGAAAAUAAAAAAUGUCUGCAGUUUCAUACAUUGACACGUAAAUUAACCACAUCUAGUUCACCACAAUUACAUCAUAUGAUUACCUAUGAUAUAAAUUUUAGUUUCCUGUAUGUGAAGAUUCCAUAGAACACCGUCCAGAAAUCUGCACAUAAGACAUGAUAGGAAGUGAUUAAAGGAAGUGACAUCCACAACUUGUAUGAAUUUUUGACAUCAUAGGAUCUUGUAUUUUGGUAUAAACACACAAAGAAUGUAGUUCAAGAUAUGAAAUAGUUUCAUCCCAUGGAAAACAGCAAAAUUCAAACAUUUUUCUAGCACGAACAUGACAGUAGUAUAGAAACCAAAAUGUUUGGUGUUAUCUUGAAGUGGUUUACAACAUUCUUACUAGUCUUUUGGGCUCCCAGUCACAUGUGCCAAUGUUCUUAUCCAAUGCACUAGCACUUU
This 788-nucleotide long non-coding RNA is filed under the name Triticum aestivum (bread wheat). Its description in RNAcentral is "long non-coding RNA (TAES_LNC017609)". The record is from RNAcentral. Lineage: Eukaryota; Viridiplantae; Streptophyta; Magnoliopsida; Poales; Poaceae.